GAUAAUCAGCAACAAUAAUUCGAAGAAGUACGUGGUCAUGAAAGAUGGAGGUAACUUUUCUAUUACUCGUUUUACCAGGACUCAGGUUCUGAAAUUGUUUUUCUGUUCUCACUUUUACAACUAUUUUGUUUGAUUUGCAUCGAGUAAUAGUUCUGUGCGAUUAAGAAUGCUUUAUGUUUUACAAAAUAUUUUGUUGGUUAUCAAUAUCAUGUUUCUUACGACCAGUCUACCUUAUAUUCUGCCUUGUUACAUAUUUCAACCGAAAAACAUUAGUCUAUCCUUUCCUUCUGUCAUAAAUCGUAUUCAUUAAACUCCACAAAGGAAUUUAUAUGUGCAAGGAAAAAACUAUCAGCAUUUAACCUCGGGUUUCCACGAACGUUUCCGAGAAGUUACAAUUGCUGUCGAUGUUAUCAGAAUGAAACUUGCAGUACACUGCCGACUAUCUUCAUUUUAAUAUGUUCGUUAAAUCAACGAAAUGGUAAUAAAGUUCUACAUUAUGCUGAAUUCAGGGUUUUGGUAGUAAUUUUAAAAAAAAUAUUCAAACUAAUAAAUUUAUGAAAUAAAAACAACUGUAUAUACAUGUGAUAUUCUUGAUAUUUCAGCAGCCACUUUCACAGAAUUUGACUGCAUCUCCACCAACAGAUUUGGCAAAGUUAUCGGAGCAACCUAGGUCAACUUCUCAAGAAAACUCAUGUCAACCAUCUCCACUCCUGUAACCCCAGGCAACUCUGAUGUGGUGAGGCUAUUACCUCACAGUGUGGUUUAUAGAACGAAAUAUGCACCAAUGCUCUCCGAAAAGGGACAAAAAAGAAACUACGUGAUGUACGACCUCCUUGACCAAGUGUUCACUAUUAUUAAACUAGCGAACUUCAUAGGAGACAGGUAUUGGUCAGCCGCGCUCAGGAGAGGAAACAAAGAAUAUCAUAGACAACUGGCAAUACUUGAGAAUGUGCUAUGACGGAAAAUGCUGCCAUGACGCUCCCUAAAGUAGAAUUAAAUCGGGCCACCACUAAAAUGAACACGUAUGCGCGAUAACAGUUGACACAUAAUAGAUUGAUGAAAAAUAGGGAAGUGCUCAUUCUACUGUGAAGUGUUCUAGUGACUGGAAUUAUAUUUUAUACCCAAUAUGAUUAUAUAGUGUAACUUUUAUUAUACUUGGUAUUUAUAUUUGAAAUGUAGAAUAAAUUGAGCAAGCUUUAGUAUGGUUAUUCACAUUGUCUUUUUAAUUCCAUUUUUUGAAUAUUUUUUCGCGUAUAAAUCAUUGCGCACAUAAAAUUAAAAUCAAUUUAACUGCAUGUGACAUCUGUAUGAAAAUCCGCACGUAAACUAAACGUCCGCCCGUAACUAAAUUUCCGUCUUCUUCUGAAAUUCCGCCCGUAAUCUGAAAUUCCGCCCGUAACUAAAAUUCAAGCUUAAUAUAAAAAUCCGCCCGUAGCCUAAAAUUCCGCCCGGAAUUUGAAUUCCGUCCCACCUUAUUUAUAUAUUUCGCCCCAAGAACCCGGCCGGGGCCGGGUUCCGCCUCAAACACUAAAAGUUUUAUUAUUCAAAGUACGCCUGGAAAAAUUUCGUACGGGCAGGCCUGUUGUCGUCGUCAAUGUUGUUCAAAACGUUAAACGUUAACUAUUGCUCAAUAAAGAUAUAAUAUACUUUAUAUCACAAUUGGCCAUCAUUUUCACUUUUACAAUACGCAAGUAUUUAAGUCCCAUAGCUCUUCCCAGAAAUGUUUCUCAAAACAUUCCCCUAGUAUAUAAUAGCUUUGGCAACCUUUGGCGCUGCUCUCGUGAUAAAAUACAAUGUUAUUUCAUUGUUUAUACAUUA
Long non-coding RNA from Mya arenaria, 1818 nucleotides. RefSeq lists it as uncharacterized. The record is from RefSeq and is a predicted model, not a curated record. NCBI's taxonomy places the organism in Eukaryota, Metazoa, Mollusca, Bivalvia, Myida, Myidae. The transcript is spliced from 4 exons.